RNAcentral lists this ribosomal RNA (429 nucleotides) under Bacillus sp. R-32575. Its description in RNAcentral is "bacterial SSU rRNA". It matches the Rfam family "Bacterial small subunit ribosomal RNA", at positions 12 to 431 of the family's 1533-position model. Lineage: Bacteria; Bacillati; Bacillota; Bacilli; Caryophanales; Bacillaceae. The record is from RNAcentral.
UUUGAUCCUGGCUCAGGACGAACGCUGGCGGCGUGCCUAAUACAUGCAAGUCGAGCGAAUCAAUAGGAGCUUGCUCCUGUUGGUUAGCGGCGGACGGGUGAGUAACACGUGGGCAACCUGCCUGUAAGACUGGGAUAACACCGGGAAACCGGUGCUAAUACCGGAUAAUCCUUUUCCUCUCAUGAGGAAAAGCUGAAAGUCGGUUUCGGCUGACACUUACAGAUGGGCCCGCGGCGCAUUAGCUAGUUGGUGAGGUAACGGCUCACCAAGGCGACGAUGCGUAGCCGACCUGAGAGGGUGAUCGGCCACACUGGGACUGAGACACGGCCCAGACUCCUACGGGAGGCAGCAGUAGGGAAUCUUCCACAAUGGACGAAAGUCUGAUGGAGCAACGCCGCGUGAGCGAUGAAGGCCUUCGGGUCGUAAAGC